RNAcentral lists this long non-coding RNA (721 nucleotides) under Gallus gallus (chicken). Lineage: Eukaryota; Metazoa; Chordata; Aves; Galliformes; Phasianidae. The record is from RNAcentral.
GGUUAUUUUAUGUAUAGCAUUUUGGUUGGCUUUUUAACCGUUGGGUUUUUAAUUUGUUUAAUAGGGCCAGUACAGUAUAUGAGAUACAGUACUCUUAUGCACAUACCUGUCCUAAAUGAGGAUCAUUACUAAAUAGAUUUUUUUUUUAAUUUGUCAGGUGUUUUUUUUCCCCCUCCAACACUUUCAUUACGAGGGGAGGAGAGCUUUGUUUCUCCAUUAAGCGUAGGUAUCUAUAACUACCCUUUGUUGUUUGGCUGAAACCAGUAGGCAUAUUGUCAAGUACGGGGUUAUCAAGUAUGGAAUACUUAGUAUUCCAAAGUGGGAUGAUAUUUUGUGGAUUUUUGAGUUGCAGACUGAGUUUACUCAUGGGUUUGGAUGCCAGAAAAGCCUAAAAUCCUUCAGACAACUCAAGACUUUUUUUUGUCAUUGUCUUGUAUUUGCAAGCUAACUUGUACUUAAUUCUUGUGUAAGCACUGUCAUCUUUUAGUAGCAAAAAUUUUGAUACCUUUCUUGUGGAAAAAAAAAAUCAGUAUCUACCGUAUCUUGGAAACAAUGUAAUUAUAAUGUGGUGUGUGUGGUGUGUGCGUGAGAAUGGUUCAGUAGUUAAUGCCAGCAGUCUUUUGCUUGAAUGUUUAAAGAUGCCUUCAAUGUGAUGCUGGCUGAUAGGUGAUUGCAGUUUUAAAAAUGUUAUUUACUGUGCAAAAUUUGUAUAAUAGCAAAA